This is a long non-coding RNA of Tetranychus urticae (two-spotted spider mite), 667 nucleotides long. RefSeq lists it as uncharacterized. The record is from RefSeq and is a predicted model, not a curated record. Lineage: Eukaryota; Metazoa; Arthropoda; Arachnida; Trombidiformes; Tetranychidae.
UAAAAGAAGCACAAGAUUUAUUAGAGAUAACAAGUUAAAAAUCAAACCAAUAGCUUAACAAAACAAAGGAGAAAGCAAAUUGUCUCCGCCUUGUGUGAUAAAGGGUUCAUUUUUGUCUCACGGGAAGUUUCUUCUUCUGUCUUUUCAUUUUAUCUUCAAUUUCCAAUUUUUUGAUCAGUUAACUUAAGUCAUCUCACCUAACCUUUCAGUUUCACUUUCAGUUAUUUUGUGCAGUGUCUAUAGUCUAAAUAAAUUAGGCCUGAUCUCCAUAUUCAAAGUUACUAUCUGCUUUACUUCAUGUGUAAUUGGUAUCGACAUUAACGCGUACUGGUAUUUAUUCCUGCCAACAUUAUAAAAUCCUAAUUUAAGAUUUGAUAGUGAAUUUUGAUCAAGGUGUUAUGAAUCAAAUAUGCCAAUGUCUUCUAUCAUCUGUUUAUUAUUUUCAAUGAAAGAACAUUUGGUUUGAAUAAAUCUGAUAAAAUCGACAGAAGAAUUGAUGAAAAGAAAGAAUCAACAAUUCAGAGGAUUUUAUUCAACUCAAUGAUGAUAAAACUUAUUGCUACUUUAAGGAAAAUACAAAGAAUACCUCCCAUGAGAUCAUGAAAAUGAACGGAACAAAAAGCCUUGAAGAGGAUAUGCUUCAUAAGGAUAUGGCAAGGUUUGAAAA